UGCAGUCGAGCGAAAGAUAAGGAGCUUGCUCCUUUGACGUUAGCGGCGGACGGGUGAGUAACACGUGGGUAACCUACCUAUAAGACUGGAAUAACUCCGGGAAACCGGGGCUAAUGCCGGAUAACAUUUAAAACCGCAUGGUUCUAAAGUGAAAGAUGGUUUUGCUAUCACUUAUAGAUGGACCCGCGCCGUAUUAGCUAGUUGGUAAGGUAACGGCUUACCAAGGCAACGAUACGUAGCCGACCUGAGAGGGUGAUCGGCCACACUGGAACUGAGACACGGUCCAGACUCCUACGGGAGGCAGCAGUAGGGAAUCUUCCGCAAUGGGCGAAAGCCUGACGGAGCAACGCCGCGUGAGUGAUGAAGGUCUUCGGAUCGUAAAACUCUGUUAUUACGGAAGAACAAAUGUGUAAGUAACUGUGCACGUCUUGACGGUACCUAAUCACAAAGCCACGGCUAACUACGUGCCAGCAGCCGCGGUAAUACGUAUGUGGCAAGCGUUAUCCGGAAUUAUUGGGCGUAAAGCGCGCGUAGGCAGUUUCUUAAGUCUGAUGUGAAAGCCCACGGCUCAACCGUGGAGGGUCAUUGGAAACUGGGAGACUUGAGUGCAGAAGAGGAAAGUGGAAUUCCAUGUGUAGCGGUGAAAUGCGCAGAGAUAUGGAGGAAGCACCAGUGUCGAACGCGACUUUCUGAUCUGUAUCUGACGACUGAUGUGCG
This 717-nucleotide ribosomal RNA is filed under the name Staphylococcus cohnii. RNAcentral's name for it is "bacterial SSU rRNA". It matches the Rfam family "Bacterial small subunit ribosomal RNA", at positions 56 to 755 of the family's 1533-position model. The record is from RNAcentral. Lineage: Bacteria; Bacillati; Bacillota; Bacilli; Caryophanales; Staphylococcaceae.